Molecule: transfer RNA, 72 nt
Filed under: Camelus bactrianus (Bactrian camel)
Lineage: Eukaryota; Metazoa; Chordata; Mammalia; Artiodactyla; Camelidae
Also listed under: 2 other names
Rfam family: tRNA
About the family: Transfer RNA (tRNA) molecules are approximately 80 nucleotides in length. Their secondary structure includes four short double-helical elements and three loops (D, anti-codon, and T loops).
Source: Rfam by way of RNAcentral
GAGGGUAUAGCUCAGUGGUAGAGUGCAUGCUUAGCAUGCACAAGGUCCUGGGUUCAAUCCCCACUAGCUCCA